This 649-nucleotide ribosomal RNA is filed under the name uncultured Bacteroidales bacterium. RNAcentral describes it as "bacterial SSU rRNA". It matches the Rfam family "Bacterial small subunit ribosomal RNA", at positions 65 to 703 of the family's 1533-position model. The record is from RNAcentral. Lineage: Bacteria; Pseudomonadati; Bacteroidota; Bacteroidia; Bacteroidales.
AGGGGCAGCAUGGUCUUAGCUUGCUAAGGCCGAUGGCGACCGGCGCACGGGUGAGUAACGCGUAUCCAACCUGCCUUACACUCUUGGACAGCCUUCUGAAAGGGAGAUUAAUACAAGAUGUUAUCAUGAGUAAGCAUUUUCGCAUGAUUAAAGGUUUACCGGUGUAAGAUGGGGAUGCGUUCCAUUAGAUAGUAGGCGGGGUAACGGCCCACCUAGUCUUCGAUGGAUAGGGGUUCUGAGAGGAAGGUCCCCCACAUUGGAACUGAGACACGGUCCAAACUCCUACGGGAGGCAGCAGUGAGGAAUAUUGGUCAAUGGACGAGAGUCUGAACCAGCCAAGUAGCGUGAAGGAUGAAGGUUCUAUGGAUUGUAAACUUCUUUUAUACGGGAAUAAACGGAUCCACGUGUGGAUUUUUGCAUGUACCGUAUGAAUAAGGAUCGGCUAACUCCGUGCCAGCAGCCGCGGUAAUACGGAGGAUCCGAGCGUUAUCCGGAUUUAUUGGGUUUAAAGGGAGCGUAGAUGGGUUGUUAAGUCAGUUGUGAAAGUUUGCGGCUCAACCGUAAAAUUGCAAUUGAUACUGGCAGUCUUGAGUACAGUUGAGGUAGGCGGAAUUCGUGGUGUAGCGGUGAAAUGCUUAGAUAUCACGAA